AAACCAGUGGACUGUAAGCUGCGCUGCCUAUCCUUCCACAGUUUCCACCUACCCACCGGUCAGCUCGGUCCACGGCACCGGAGCAUGCUCACCGUCGGCGGCCGCUUCCAGGGCGGAGCUCCCCCAUGGCGACGGCCCCGGCCACGCUCGCGUCUGGCGUCUCCGCCGGCCUCCAGCAGCGGCGCCGGCGACUCCGAAAAGGCCAGACCUUUGCUCGUGGAGAGGUACCGGGACGGCGCCGCCAAGAGGUAUAUGUUGGACGGCGACUCUAAGCUGCAAGUUCAGUGGGAGAAGCAUGAUGAAUCUUCAACGAACACUGUCGAAGAUGAAAAUGCAAAUUCUUCGAUUCCCCGGGCUGUUAGUGAUUUUGUACUUCCAGCAGGUUUUCCAGAAUCUGUUUCGGAUGAUUACCUGCAAUACAUGCUGUUGCAAUUCCCCACAAACGUGACAGGAUGGAUCUGUCACACAUUGGUUACAUCAAGUCUUCUGAAGGCUGUAGGUGUUGGGUCCUUUACAGGAACUUCAGCAGCUGCUGCUGCCGCUGCUAUCAGAUGGGUAUCAAAAGAUGGCAUAGGAGCUUUUGGACGUCUUCUUAUUGGUGGACGAUUUGGAACACUUUUUGAUGAUGACCCAAAGAAGUGGCGGAUGUAUGCUGAUUUCAUUGGGAGUGCUGGAAGCAUCUUUGAUCUCACCACUCCUCUCUAUCCUGGUUACUUCCUUCCACUUGCAUCAUUGGGGAAUCUUGCAAAGGCUGUAGGAAGAGGAUUUAGAGAUCCUUCCAAUCGUGUUAUCCAAAAUCACUUCGCAAAAUCGGGAAAUCUAGGGGAGAUUGCUGCAAAGGAGGAAGUAUGGGAAGUAGGAGCUCAGCUGGUAGGCCUUUCUAUUGGUGUACUUAUUCUGGACACGCCAGGUAUACAGUCUUCAUAUUUAACUCUUACUCUGACAUGGCUGGGUGUUCGUCUUCUGCAUCUUUGGUUUCGCUACCAGUCCCUAGUAGUUCUCAAGUUCCGCACAGUAAGGUUAACCUAAAACGCGCUCGGAUUCUUGUGAGGUCACAUGUUGCAAAUCAUACAGUUCCUGGCUAUGUUGCUUGCAAUGAGGAAGAGAAUAUUUUAACAUGGGAAAGAUUCUUGCAACCUCGAAUUUCUUUUGGUGUGCCCAUGGAGAGGAUGCUCGGUGGAGAGGAAUCCACUCACAUGGACAUGGUGAAUAUGCUGCUGAAGCUAUACAAGAAUGAGAAGUACAUCCUCUGUGUUGAGCAGCUUGGGUUAGAAGAGGCAACAUACCUGGUUACAUUCAAGGAGGCGGCAACAAGCAUGUCGGUCCUAAGAAGCCUAUGGCAAGCGCAUUGGCUUCACCAAAAUCGGCCGAAGCAGGACGACGUUGCCGCCUGGCUAGAAGAGAGCCUUUCUGCAUUGGAGGAUGGAUUUGCUGACUUCAUCAAACAGAUGGAGGAAGCUGGCUGGGAUCAAAGCCAAAUCUUCUUAAAGGUGCCAAAAGAACCUGUCUUGGUGUUGGAACACCUUGACCAGGAGGUGUGAGACAACAGAUGGAUCAUUUUUGGGGUUUGACCAGUGCUAACCAAUCAGUUCCAACCGAACGACAAACUGAAGCUCAAAGCCUCUGACGGUAGAUGCUUGGUGAGCUAGUAAACAACCUACAUUGCAAGAAACAUUGUUUGGCAUGUUGGCUCAAUGUUUUGUACUGUCAAAAGCAGAAAUUCACGGUUAAUCUAGCAUUAUUCAGCAGUCGGUAUAGUGGCAUAUUGGUGGAUUUCUGACCCAGUGACAUAAUCUCAGUCAUUCGCAUGAUGGUACACUGUUGUCCAUGUUGCUAUAGUUUGCUACUUUGCUUAGGCAUAACAUAUGUUCAUAUUAAUUGCUUCACUUCAUGGACAAGAAGCAGACAACAAAC
Molecule: ribosomal RNA, 1914 nt
Filed under: Triticum aestivum (bread wheat)
Lineage: Eukaryota; Viridiplantae; Streptophyta; Magnoliopsida; Poales; Poaceae
Description: partial small subunit ribosomal RNA
Source: RNAcentral